RNAcentral lists this long non-coding RNA (409 nucleotides) under Bubo bubo (Eurasian eagle-owl). Its description in RNAcentral is "lncRNA (ENSBOBG00000002330.1)". The record is from RNAcentral. Lineage: Eukaryota; Metazoa; Chordata; Aves; Strigiformes; Strigidae.
UUUAUGUAUCACUUCAAAGAAGCAGAGAUGCUGUUGACCUCAUGAAACUUUGUCAAAUAAGAGCCCGUUUCCUGGCAGUGAAAGAUCCUAACUUGCAUUGAUUCAGCAUGCUAUCUGAAGAUCAGGACUGCACUUGGAGGAUAUCAUCAUGUAAAUCUCGGGAGGGGAAAAAGAAGAAGAGAAGGAAACCCUUCAUUCCAGACUGUUAGAUUUGACCCUACAAGUCUGCAGAGGCAUGUUGCUGGUGGAUGAACUGAUAGUCCAGUUAGUUAAUCAGCAUGGCGUGACCAGUUUCAGAGUGAAAUGGAUCAAAGCAAAACCAGGAUUUCUGACCUACAUGAUGCUAUACAACCAGUCUGUACUGUAGCUAGUACAUUCAGAAGCUGCUAGAGAUCAGCUAAUGCUCAAA